This 205-nucleotide long non-coding RNA is filed under the name Lathyrus oleraceus (garden pea). RNAcentral describes it as "Pisum sativum (pea) long non-coding RNA (PSAT_LNC018004)". Lineage: Eukaryota; Viridiplantae; Streptophyta; Magnoliopsida; Fabales; Fabaceae. The record is from RNAcentral.
UUAAUUAAAAAUAAAUUAUGUUGAGCUAUUGGUAUUGACUUGUUGAGUUUGACUUGUGUUGUUGGGCCUUGGUCAAGGUUGAUUUGACUAUGUUGGAUUAAAAUCAUUGGAUUUAUGGGAUUGAUGAAAUGUACAUUUCAUCUCCCAAAAUGAAUGAAUGAUUUUAAUUUGAUAAAAGUCUUGCUUUGACCAAUUUGUGUUGAUU